Molecule: microRNA precursor, 60 nt
Filed under: Panagrellus redivivus
Lineage: Eukaryota; Metazoa; Nematoda; Chromadorea; Rhabditida; Panagrolaimidae
Description: microRNA prd-mir-7879 precursor
Source: miRBase by way of RNAcentral
AAUGUGAACGAGCAACAAAACGUGGAUUGAUACUAUCCGUUUUGUUCGCUAGUUUGCGUC